This 296-nucleotide long non-coding RNA is filed under the name Salvia miltiorrhiza (redroot sage). RNAcentral describes it as "long non-coding RNA (SMIL_LNC011637)". Lineage: Eukaryota; Viridiplantae; Streptophyta; Magnoliopsida; Lamiales; Lamiaceae. The record is from RNAcentral.
AAGCAGAGGUCGCCGGAAGCAGAGGUCACCGGAAGAAGGGCCGAAGCGGAUCCAAGCCCUAAAGCCCCAAUUCAAGUCACCACCUCUCCUCCUUCCACGUUUUCCUGCCGUCGACUCUGCAAUCGACGCCGUCGGUCUUCCAUCCCCCACAAUCAACGCCGCCUCUGCAAAACCUCCAAAUCUAGAGGUUUAGGGUUUAUUUCCGCCGCCCCCGCCGCCGACUGAAAUAACAUCACCGCCGCAACACCACCACAGAUUUGCCAACUAAAAUGAAAAUCCCCAAAUCCUCAACCACA